CUUGCUCUCCCAUAAGAGGUCCAGCCUGCCCAGUGACUUAGUUCAACGGCCGCGGUACCCUAACCGUGCGAAGGUAGCGUAAUCACUUGUCUUCCAAAUAGAGACUAGUAUGAAAGGCAUCACGAGAAUUUAACUGUCUCCUUUUUCUAAUCAGUGAAACUAAUCUUCCCGUGAAGAAGCGGGAAUCCAAAAAUAAGACGAGAAGACCCUAUGGAGCUUUAAACACUAACCACCUGCCCAAUCCUAUAAGACCCCGGUUCCAAAACCAACGCAUCAUGACUACGUGUUUUUGAUUGGGGCGACCACGGAAAAUAAUCAAACCUCCGUAAUGAAAACCUACAAGCCACAGCUUUAAGUAUCAACAAAUUGACAUCCAUUGACCCAAUAUAUUGACUAAUGAAC
Molecule: ribosomal RNA, 402 nt
Filed under: Pristimantis chiastonotus group sp. ABGD cluster 88
Lineage: Eukaryota; Metazoa; Chordata; Amphibia; Anura; Strabomantidae
Description: partial large subunit ribosomal RNA
Rfam family: Bacterial large subunit ribosomal RNA
Source: RNAcentral